GCGUUCAUAGCUCAGUUGGUUCGAGCACCACCUUGACAUGGUGGGGGUCGUUGGUUCGAGUCCAAUUGAACGCACCA
This 77-nucleotide transfer RNA is filed under the name Escherichia coli. Its description in RNAcentral is "tRNA-Val". It matches the Rfam family "tRNA". From Rfam's summary of the family: Transfer RNA (tRNA) molecules are approximately 80 nucleotides in length. Their secondary structure includes four short double-helical elements and three loops (D, anti-codon, and T loops). Lineage: Bacteria; Pseudomonadati; Pseudomonadota; Gammaproteobacteria; Enterobacterales; Enterobacteriaceae. The record is from RNAcentral.